UACGUAGGGAGCAAGCGUUGUCCGGAAUCAUUGGGCGUAAAGGGCGCGUAGGCGGCCUUCUAAGUCAGACGUGAAAUCCCCCGGCUUAACCUGGGAACUGCGUCUGAUACUGGGAGGCUUGAGUAUGGGAGAGGGAUGUAGAAUUCCAGGUGUAGCGGUGAAAUGCGUAGAUAUCUGGAGGAAUACCGGUGGCGAAGGCGGCAUCCUGGACCAUAACUGACGCUGAGGCGCGAAAGCUAGGGGAGCAAACGGG
RNAcentral lists this ribosomal RNA (253 nucleotides) under uncultured bacterium. Its description in RNAcentral is "partial 16S ribosomal RNA". It matches the Rfam family "Bacterial small subunit ribosomal RNA", at positions 524 to 776 of the family's 1533-position model. The record is from RNAcentral.